Non-coding RNA from Garciella nitratireducens DSM 15102, 103 nucleotides. The record is from Rfam. NCBI's taxonomy places the organism in Bacteria, Bacillati, Bacillota, Clostridia, Eubacteriales, Eubacteriaceae.
GACAGAGUAGGUUUAGGCGCGUAAAGUGCUGGAUAGACGGGAAGUUGCUAUCCAGACGAAAAACUUCUUAAAGUUUGCGAUGCCUUUACCGCAUUCCGCUGUC